GCAGUAGCCACGGUAAUACAGAGGGUGCGAGCGUUAAUCGGAUUUACUGGGCGUAAAGCGUGCGUAGGCGGCUUUUUAAGUCGGAUGUGAAAUCCCUGAGCUUAACUUAGGAAUUGCAUUCGAUACUGGGAAGCUAGAGUAUGGGAGAGGAUGGUAGAAUUCCAGGUGUAGCGGUGAAAUGCGUAGAGAUCUGGAGGAAUACCGAUGGCGAAGGCAGCCAUCUGGCCUAAUACUGACGCUGAGGUACGAAAGCAUGGGGAGCAAACAGGAUUAGAUACCCGUGUAGUCCCUGUCUCUUAUAC
RNAcentral lists this ribosomal RNA (302 nucleotides) under uncultured bacterium. Its description in RNAcentral is "partial 16S ribosomal RNA". It matches the Rfam family "Bacterial small subunit ribosomal RNA", at positions 508 to 807 of the family's 1533-position model. The record is from RNAcentral.